ACAGAGGUCUCAAGCGUUGUUCGGAAUCACUGGGCGUAAAGGGUGCGCAGGCGGCGCGGAAAGUCAGAUGUGAAAUCCGGAGGCUCAACCUCCGAAUAGCAUCCGAUACUUCCGCGCUUGAGAGUUGUAGGGGAGCUUGGAAUUCUCGGUGUAGCAGUGAAAUGCGUGGAUAUCGAGAAGAACACUCGCGGCGAAGGCGAAGCUCUGGGCAACAUCUGACGCUCAUGCACGAGGGCUAGGGGAGCAAACGGGAUUAGAUACCCCGGUAGUCCUAGCUGUAAACGGUGCGCGCUUGGUGUGGCGGGUUUCGACCCCUGCCGUGCCGCAGCUAACGCGUUAAGCGCGCCGCCUGGGAAGUACGGUCGCAAGAUUA
This 373-nucleotide ribosomal RNA is filed under the name uncultured bacterium. RNAcentral's name for it is "bacterial SSU rRNA". It matches the Rfam family "Bacterial small subunit ribosomal RNA", at positions 525 to 896 of the family's 1533-position model. The record is from RNAcentral.